UAAGGAAUAUUGGACAAUGGGCGCAAGCCUGAUCCAGCCAUGCCGCGUGCAGGAUGAAAGUGCUAUGCACUGUAAACUGCUUUUACUUGGGAAAAAACCCCUGGUUUACACCGGGGCUGAUUGUACCGAGAGAAUAAGGGACGGCUAACUUCGUGCCAGCAGCCGCGGUAAUACGAAGGUCCCAAGCGUUAUCCGGAUUUAUUGGGUUUAAAGGGUGCGUAGGCGGACUAUUAAGUCAGUGGUGAAAGCCCCAAGCUUAACUUGGGAACUGCCAUUGAUACUGAUGGUCUUGAGUACAUUUGAGGUGGGCGGAAUGUGUCAUGUAGCGGUGAAAUGCUUAGAUAUGACACAGAACACCGAUUGCGAAGGCAGCUCACUAAACUGUAACUGACGCUGAGGCACGAAAGCGUGGGGAGCAAACAGGAUUAGAUACCCCCGUAGUCC
This 444-nucleotide ribosomal RNA is filed under the name uncultured bacterium. RNAcentral's name for it is "bacterial SSU rRNA". It matches the Rfam family "Bacterial small subunit ribosomal RNA", at positions 355 to 796 of the family's 1533-position model. The record is from RNAcentral.